AGGGCACACAGGGGCAGUGCAUCAGCAUGAGGGGAUAAAAGGCUGGGCUGAAGAACAAAAGGAGCAGGUGCUUGAGGCUUUCUGAAGUGAAAUGAUGUCACUCUGUAUGGGUGGACACCUGAAGCCUUCUGAUGAGUUCUGUUUGCAGUGUUACUUUCUGAAUACUGAGCCAACGACCAUCGCUCCAAGCACUCAGUCUCCCUGGUCCUAGAGUGGAAGGCAUUCUGUGGACUGACUGCACAGCCAUUGAGCUAAAGUGGAGACAGGACCAAAUCCAAGGGAAAAAAAAAAAGGCUAUAACCCAGCUCUCUACAGCAGUGCACUGAAAAGUGAUGUGUGAUGUGAAGCAAGGUGAGGGGAAUCAUGUUCACUUCACCACAGACACUAAAGUUUGCCAGCUUUCUUCUUUACCUGAGUAAUGACCACCAGGAGGGGCUUCACAGCAGCUUGUUUUGUUCCUAGAUCCAGAAAAAUAUGUGCAUUUGCCUACAAGGACAGUGUGCAUUUUAAGAAUAGGCCUCCAGGUCAGAGGUGUAUUAAUGAGAGAACGGCUGGAGGAUGAUGAGCUGAUCCUGCAGCCUCCAACAGCACUGAAUGGACUACAAGGGCUCUGUAGAAAAUAACUCCCAGCUAAUAACUGCACAAAUCAUCCUGCAGAGCCAGCUGUUACCAGGACUGCAAGCAUUCCUGUUGUUUGUUUUUGGAGGAGCCCUGUGUGCUUGUGUCAAAGCCCAGACCAUGUACAAAUUCCCCAGUGGUCACUGUGAAGACCACCAUGAUAUUUUAAAGGUUUCCAUGUCAGUGCAUGAGUUUUUAAAUAAUUUGAUAAUUUUCAUAACGUGCUUGGACUUGAUUCUCUAACCUGUAUUUCAGGAAGCAGUUCAUCAGUGUGGGUGACUCCAUGGUAGCCUCACCUGAAAACUUUCCAGGUUUCCUAAAUUCCACUGUCUUGCCCAUGUUUACUAUAAGUUCAUAGCAACUAUGUCCAUAUGCAGAAUGAUGAAAGGGUGAUUUAUUUUUUAUUAUCUGACUAGAAUAUUGCUGAAGAAGCAAAGAGGCUUGUGUAUUAUGAAAAGACAGAACAGAGAUGUCCGAGCAUGUGCAGUGAGGGGGGAUAAGAAAUGAAUUUUACAGCGCCCUUCAGAAAGUCUAUCAUAAGGAAAACUUGUGUUUGAAACCUUCUCUUCCUCAGUGGGAAAAUAAUAUAUAUGUGAAAAUCAUGGGUUUUCUUGGCUUCUAGUAUCACCAGAGUUUUCUUGGAAGUAAAGGAACAGUCCUGCUUUCAUUAAUUCCAAAAAAGCUUUGCAUUCAAGCUAUUCACCUGGAGUGAAGGGCUACCUAAUUCAGUCUGCACACAUGGAUUAUGCAUCCUACAUGAAAGUCUUUGAUCCAUGAGAAAACCAACAUUUGUUGAUCUGUUUUGCACUGUAUCUUGCAAUGAAUGCUUUUGCAUAUAUGUAUUUUAUUGUAUCUGAUGUCUA
Molecule: long non-coding RNA, 1481 nt
Organism: Zonotrichia leucophrys gambelii
Lineage: Eukaryota; Metazoa; Chordata; Aves; Passeriformes; Passerellidae
Exons: 6
Source: RefSeq, a predicted model, not a curated record